Molecule: ribosomal RNA, 253 nt
Filed under: uncultured bacterium
Lineage: Bacteria
Description: partial 16S ribosomal RNA
Rfam family: Bacterial small subunit ribosomal RNA
Source: RNAcentral
UACGUAGGUGGCAAGCGUUGUCCGGAUUUACUGGGCGUAAAGGAUGCGUAGGCGGAUAUUUAAGUGGGAUGUGAAAUACCCGGGCUCAACCUGGGUGCUGCAUUCCAAACUGGAUAUCUAGAGUGCGGGAGAGGAGAGUGGAAUUCCUAGUGUAGCGGUGAAAUGCGUAGAGAUUAGGAAGAACACCAGUGGCGAAGGCGACUCUCUGGACCGUAACUGACGAUGAGGCAUGAAAGCGUGGGGAGCAAACAGG